RNAcentral lists this ribosomal RNA (422 nucleotides) under uncultured archaeon. Its description in RNAcentral is "partial 16S ribosomal RNA". It matches the Rfam family "Archaeal small subunit ribosomal RNA", at positions 323 to 746 of the family's 1478-position model. The record is from RNAcentral.
CUACGGGGGGCAGCAGUUAGGAAUAUUUUGCAAUGCGCGCAAGCGUGACAAAUUGAGUCAGAGUGCUUUUCUUAUUGAAAAGCUUUUAUGGAAUGUAAAAAGUUCCAUGAAUAAGGACUGGGUAAGACUAGUGCCAGCCGCCGCGGUAAUACUAGCGGUCCAAGUCGCAGCCAUUUUUAUUGGGUCUAAAACAUCCGUAGCUUGCUUAAUGAGUUCUUUGUGAAAUUUUAUCUCUCAAAGAUAAAACGUGCAAGGAGUACUGUUAAGCUAGAGACUGGAAGACGUAAGAAGUAUGUUCAAAGUAGCGGUAAAAUGUGUUAAUCUUGAACAGACUCACAAUAGCGAAGGCAUCUUACGAGGACAGUUCUGACAGUAAGGGAUGAAGGCUAAGGUCGCGAAAGGGAUUAGAUACCCGGGUAGUC